Molecule: ribosomal RNA, 254 nt
Filed under: uncultured bacterium
Lineage: Bacteria
Description: partial 16S ribosomal RNA
Rfam family: Bacterial small subunit ribosomal RNA
Source: RNAcentral
UACAGAGGUGCCAAGCGUUAGGCGGAAUCACUGGGCUUAAAGCGCGUGUAGGUGGACGGGUAAGUAUCUUGUGAAAUCCCACGGCUCAACCGUGGAACUGCUGGAUAUACUGCUUGUCUUGAGGCACUUAGGGGCAGCUGGAACAAAUGGUGGAGCGGUGAAAUGCGUAGAUAUCAUUUGGAACGCCAAAGGCGAAAGCAGGCUGCUGGGAGUGAUCUGACACUGAGACGCGAAAGCCAGGGGAGCAAACGGGG